This is a long non-coding RNA of Mya arenaria, 3135 nucleotides long. RefSeq lists it as uncharacterized. Lineage: Eukaryota; Metazoa; Mollusca; Bivalvia; Myida; Myidae. The transcript has 3 exons. The record is from RefSeq and is a predicted model, not a curated record.
CCGCUGGUGGCGACGUCUCUCUUGAAGUGGGAGGAGGUCUAGUUGGGACAGCAUCUCUGUGACUGCACCAUCAUGUCAAUUACACAGCUCAGAAAUAAUUUAUUCAUUUGUUUUGUUUAGGCCUGAAAAAAAUACAUUUGGCUCGGGUUACCCGACCCUACGUACGGUAUAGGCGCCGACCCUACCGUUUUUAUAGUCAGUAAAAAAAAAUGAAAACUGAUGUGCGUUCAUAGUGUAACGGUCCGCAGUAGGGGGCGGAUGUGCGUUCAUAAUAAUAUUCCGUAUAAAACGGAAGUACGUUCGGUAUACGUAUGUAAACUUGGUUGGUAAUAUGCAAAUUAGCAAAACCCGGUAUCUGUUAGAAUAGAGAAGUUAGUGUAUAUAAAGACCAGUGGACCCCUUCAGGGUCGAUCAUGCUUUUCUCUGAAGGGAUCUGUUGGUGUUUCAUUGGCGUCGCACGUUACAGUAGUUUAAAACCUUAAAUGCUUAUACAGAAGAUAACUUUAACACCAUUCUCGAAUGAUGAAAAUGACAUUCCUAUAUAAAGCCUAAUAAAAUAAAUAAAUAAAAAAAGAUAAAUACCCUACCUAUUUUUUAAAAGAAUGUAACCCUUACCAAACAAUUAUUUUUUUUUAGGCCUUAUUGCCCACCAAAGGAAGCAACACUUUCAAAUAAUUCAGUUCUUUUCCAAAAACUCAAAAAAGCUAUUACAGGUCAAGAUCGCUUUUUUGGGAGAUUUCAAUUAUGAUCAAAAUGAAAGGGCUUCUAUUGCACACUUAUAUCAUACCAAUUUCAAUCUACGCCAGUUAAUAGAUUCAGUUACAACUGAUUAUGGCUCAUAUUAAUACCAUAUAUACACAAACUUGGAUUCAACUUGUUUAAGAUCUUACGGCACUCUAAAAUCAUAUUUCUCUGAUUACAUACCAUUGUACCUGUACUGAAAGUAGACUAAAUUUUAGUUAAAUGCUAUAAUAUGAUUGACAGUAAGUUACGAACUAUGCUUCUUGACUGAAAAAGUGCUCACAAAGGUAACAAUGCACCUGCCUGACUAAUAUAAUAACUAGGUGUUUACACAAUACCACAUUAAGAAGUCAGAGAUGCGAUUAAAUAAUAAAUUGAUUUUUUUUUAAAAAUAAAUAAAAUUUCUCACUAGCUAGUUGUUAUAAUGCCAAGGAUACGUUGUAUAUAUAUAAACACUUACUAUUGUAAAGAAUUUUAAAAUUUAGACGUCUUUUUAAAAUGUAGGCUGAGCCUAAAAUGUUUGUAUAGGAAAAAAUAUAGCAUAAUUUCUAUGAUGUAUUUGAAGUGUUUGAUUUUAAUGCGUAUGUGAUAGAUUCUUAAGACAUUAUUUAAAUAUUGAAUUUUUAACCAGAGAUUUGUACAUACUGUGUAAGUCAAGUUAAAUACUUACACCAGUCCAUUGACUCAGAAAAUAUAGUGACAUUAUGCUAUCCAGGAUACAAAAUCAAAGACUUUAUGGACCUGGAUAUUGUGUUUGACUUGAUACAAUCGGUGUCGGUGGUGGUUGUUAUGGCGGGUGCCAAUGACAUACCGAGGUCUGGCCUUGAAGAUGUCCUGUCGGAUUUACAGGAGCUGUGCGAGAAAGUACAUGCGACUAACCCCACGGCCACGGUUGUUGUAUCUGGUAUAUUACCGAGGGCACAGAGCAGUCUCGAAGGGAGGCGAUUGUCCCAGAGCUUCCUGCGAGCAUUUAACAACACGGCCGAAAUAAAUGUAUUGAUUCCAGACAUAAUGAAACAGAAUCAUAGUAUCGAUUGUGGACUAUAUGUCAUUGCUUUUAUAACAUCUUACUGUGUUCGUAAAAUGUUAUGUUUCCAAUUAAUAUUCGAUUCAAACAAGUUACGAUCUCAUCUACUCCAAUGUUUAGAAAACGAAGAUAUAACCGAAUUUCCGUUGACAAGUAAAACCAUCAGUCUGCGGAAAAAGAAAAGCGCCAAAUAUAUAAAUAUAAAAACUUAUUGCAUUUGUAACCUUCCAGAAUGUUUUGAUGAUAUGGUUCAAUGCGACGACUGCAACAAAUGGUACCAUAAAUAUUGUGUAAAUGCGCCAUCUGACGUUUCGCUAGUACAUGUGUGGUCUUUGUAAAUAAAUUUAACAGAAAUGAGUCAAAUAAAGCAUUAUUAAAUAUAAGGUACUUUAUUUGUUAUUUCAAUAGCAUUUAUACCGUACAUCAUAAUUCCCGAGAUAUUUCUUCAUCCAAAAUUAUUUCGUAAUUGCGCCAUGUGUACCACGCCUUUCAUAUGAAAAAGUUUUUUUAUGUAUCAUAUUUUCCAAUACGUUUUAUUUUCAUAUCCAUUAUGCAUCUGUUUAUGAAAUAUAUGUCAAAUGACACUCUUGAAAUAUUGAAAUGUAGUGUAUUUUAAUCAUACUUUGUUCAAACUGUUAUGUUAUUACAUGCUCGUUCUUCAGAAAUACCUCUUUCAUUUGUUUAUAUUUGUUUAAUAAAUAAUGUACAUUUCUCAAAUAUCUCUGUCAAUAUGUUAUUUUUGUUAAGAAUGACACUUUAUAAAUGAUUUCAAUGUUUGUUUGUUUAAUCAAUGACACUUGUACCCCGUAAUAGGGCCAUUAACACCUUUUCCCUAUAUGGCUAUAUUGGCUGCGCUACCGCUGCGUUUUCCCUAUAUGUUUAUAUUGGCUGCGUUAAUCGCUGCGUUAUAUACCGACCCCUUAAUUCAUGCUAUAGAAACGAGCUAUUGAAACGAUUACUGUACCAUCAGAUUUUAUCUCAUCAAAUAUAAACAUUUUUUUACCUUUGUCAUCGCUGGAAUGACAUGAAUUCGCAUGGUUUUUUGUUUAAUGUCGUCUUCAAUGAGGUCGUGCAAAUCAAUUAUUUACUGCCUGGAUAACCUGUACUUAACUUUCAUCUCACUAACAUUCAAAUUAUUUAACAAAUCUACUCUAUCGUUAAAAUUACGGGGUUCACGACGUCGGGGAUUUCUUCCGUCGGCCAUAUUUACGUUUUUCAUAACAAACUUACGGAUGCUUUUUUUAACGUAGUUUUACGCAAAAUGUUACGUACGAACUAUUUAGUAAAACGAAGUUACGCUAAAAAAUUGUGCGUACGCAAAAACUUACGAAAAUAUUGGAGUUACGCUUACGUAAGUCCGUUAGUAA